This 30-nucleotide non-coding RNA is filed under the name Mus musculus (house mouse). The record is from RNAcentral. Lineage: Eukaryota; Metazoa; Chordata; Mammalia; Rodentia; Muridae.
UUCAGAAGCUAAAGACUGCUCCAUCCUACC